UACAGUGUUAGAAUCUAUCGAUACCACUCCUACAGUGAUAGAGUAUGACGCUACAACUACUACAGUCGUAAAUCCUACAGCGUUAGAAUCUACCGGUACAACUCUUGCAGUGCAUGCUAGAGGCUACAACGCUUCCUCAUUGAUCACUUUUGAUAGGUCCCGUUGAUUGUACACUGGUUCCAUGCCCAAAAGGCCAGAUCUGCACAAAGAAGGUGUUUCCGUGCCUUAUUCCGCCGUGUCCAGAGCAGCACAAAUGUGUUUUACCCGAUCCGUGUGAUGAAGUACAAUGUCCAAUUGAAACGUCGUGCGUAGUCGAUAAUGGUCGUAUAGAAUGUGUGAGACGUGGCACGUGUCCCAAAUUUCCCGGUCUCAUCACGACGUGCGAAGUCCGUUCCGGACACUGUCUGAGCGACAUCGAGUGCCAGACCGGCGAGAAGUGCUGCAUUAAAGGAUGCGGUCGGGAGUGUGUUUCAGUUGUCACAGUAAAUCCUUGUGCUUUUACUCUGUGUCCUAAAGGGACCGUUUGCGUUGAAGAAAAUGAUGAAGGUGUAUGCAAAGACACAUACUGAGUGUUGAAUGUGCUGACAUAUUGUGACAUUGAUUGAUGAUGUCAAUAAUGCAUCAUCGAUUUACUUGCAAUAAUUAUACCAAUUUUGUCUGAAUGUUUAGAGGCGUAUCACAGGAACAGAUAUGUACUAGUUAUGCGUAGAGUGUGAUCAAUAAUUUGCUGUCGACGUGGACGUGCAUGGCUUCUAAUCAAA
Corticium candelabrum is the source of this 761-nucleotide long non-coding RNA. RefSeq lists it as uncharacterized. The record is from RefSeq and is a predicted model, not a curated record. The transcript is spliced from 4 exons. NCBI's taxonomy places the organism in Eukaryota, Metazoa, Porifera, Homoscleromorpha, Homosclerophorida, Plakinidae.